UUAUAAACUGGGACUAAAAACCAUUUUUAGUCUCGGUUUUUAUUGUAUCCGAGACUAUUGUGCUUUUUGUCGAUCGGGCAAAAAUGGUUUCUCCAUUAGUGGCAGCCGCCGAAUCGAUGGGAGCCGCCGGCCGCUCCACCUGCAUCGUCGCCGGGAGCUGUCGACCGACCUCCUCCAUGGGCUGCGCAGCCGCCGAAUCGACAGGAGCCGCCGACCGCUCCACCUGCAUCGUCAUCGGGAGCCGUCGACUGACCUCCGUCGGCUGCUAACUUGUCAUAUUUGUUCUUCAGAUAGCUUAAUAUGGAGAAGACUCCGCCCUCCGCGCCUCACUAUAAUGAACUGCUCAACAUAAUGUCUCUAAGAACGUUGGCAGCAGCGAUCCGCCAUGCGUGACCUCGCCAAUCAGAGACCUCUUGUGCCCAUAUCCUGUUGUUUCCAUUCGACGUCCUCAGUAUCUCCUCAUCUGAAUUUAAGAGACACAGUUGGAGGCUUGAAGCUGCUAGAAAACCAGCGUACAUCCUUGAGCUGCCUAACAAGACAGGGCUAAUCCUGGUGAUAAUAAGUGUUGGCGGUAUGGCAUGAGGCCCUUCGACCAAGAUCUACCGAAAGCUAUGCGAAGAGUGGGGAUUCAAGCCCGAGACGUCAAAGUUAGUCGGGGCGAAGUCCCCCCAUAGCGAAAACUAUGGAACAAGGACGGCGAGAGGCGAGGGAUCGCGCGGGUACUCUGCCAAGCCAGAGGCCUCUUGGGCGAAGGAUGCAAGGCGAAGAGUAUAUGCCGAAGGGAGACGACUUCGCUAAAGCAAGCUCGCCCCCGCGAGGGCCGAAGAAGCCUUUUCCGACCCAUCAAGCCUAGGGGCUAUUGGGCAGACGAUCGCCCGACGGCCCAUCAGGGGUCCAUGAACCUCAAUUACACUAUGUACCCAUGUAAAUGUCCAUUUCAUAAGGGUAACCAUGUAAAUUCCCCUGUAUAACCAAAACCAGAGUAGUAAGAACCUGUAAUAG
Molecule: non-coding RNA, 1002 nt
Organism: Oryza sativa Japonica Group (Japanese rice)
Lineage: Eukaryota; Viridiplantae; Streptophyta; Magnoliopsida; Poales; Poaceae
Source: RefSeq, a predicted model, not a curated record